Molecule: transfer RNA, 73 nt
Filed under: Globomyces pollinis-pini
Lineage: Eukaryota; Fungi; Chytridiomycota; Chytridiomycetes; Rhizophydiales; Globomycetaceae
Also listed under: 1 other name
Description: tRNA-Ala
Rfam family: tRNA
About the family: Transfer RNA (tRNA) molecules are approximately 80 nucleotides in length.
Source: RNAcentral
GGGGGUCUAGCUCAAAUGGUAGAGCGCUCGCUUAGCAUGCGAGAGGUACUGGGAUCAAUGCCCAGGUCCUCCA